RNAcentral lists this ribosomal RNA (380 nucleotides) under uncultured bacterium. Its description in RNAcentral is "bacterial SSU rRNA". It matches the Rfam family "Bacterial small subunit ribosomal RNA", at positions 96 to 507 of the family's 1533-position model. The record is from RNAcentral.
AGCGCGACGGGUGAGUAACACGUGACUUAUCUACCCUCGAGUGGGGAAUAACUUCGGGAAACCGAGGCUAAUACCGCAUAAUACCCACGGGUCAAAGGAGCAAUUCGCUUGAGGAGGAGGUCGCGGCCGAUUAGUUAGUUGGCGGGGUAAUGGCCCACCCAAGACAGUGAUCGGUAUCCGGCCUGAGAGGGCGCACGGACACACUGGAACUGAAACACGGUCCAGACUCCUACGGGAGGCAGCAGUGGGGAAUUUUGCGCAAUGGGGGAAACCCUGACGCAGCAACGCCGCGUGGAGGAUGAAGUCUCUUGGGACGUAAACUCCUUUCGAUCGGGACGAUUAUGACGGUACCGGAAGAAGAAGCCCCGGCUAACUUCGUG